GGAAUUUUGCGCAAUGGGCGCAAGCCUGACGCAGCAACGCCGCGUGGAGGAAGAAGGCCCUCGGGUCGUAAACUCCUGUCCUUGGGGAAGAUGGUGACGGUACCCUUGGAGGAAGCCCCGGCUAACUCCGUGCCAGCAGCCGCGGUAAUACGGGGGGGGCAAGCGUUGUUCGGAAUUACUGGGCGUAAAGGGCUCGUAGGUGGCCAACUAAGUCGGACGUGAAAUCCCUCGGCUUAACCGGGGAACUGCGUCCGACACUGGUUGGCUUGAGUUUGGGAGAGGGAUGCGGAAUUCCAGGUGUAGCGGUGAAAUGCGUAGAUAUCUGGAGGAACACCGGUGGCGAAGGCGGCAUCCUGGACCAAUACUGACACUGAGGAGCGAAAGCCAGGGGAGCAAAC
RNAcentral lists this ribosomal RNA (398 nucleotides) under uncultured bacterium. RNAcentral describes it as "bacterial SSU rRNA". It matches the Rfam family "Bacterial small subunit ribosomal RNA", at positions 358 to 773 of the family's 1533-position model. The record is from RNAcentral.